CACAACGCUAACAAUAAGCUAACACAAGGUUAACGAUAAGCUAACACAAGGUUAACGAUAAGCUAACACAAGGUUAACGAUAAGCUAACACAAGGCCCACAAAACGUCUGGAUUACAACAAACUGCCUCAAAGUUAAUAUCUGUGGAAAUGAACAAACAUGAUCAGUUUGUGAUCCAUUGUUUACCAUGUUAGCAGUGGUGUUAACAGGAGCUAACACAAGUUGUUAACACAAGUUGUUAGCUAACACAAGUUAGCUCCUGCUAGUGGCGCUAACACCAUUGUAGGACCUAACACCAGUGGCAGAAGCUAACGCUAUUAGCCAGCUUUGUUAGCAUUAUUAACACCAAAAGCAGAACUUAAUCCAGUUAGCUAGCUCCAACACCAUUAGCUAAAGCUAGCUUGCUAGCUUUCUCAAGCUAGCAGUUAGCUUUCUCAAGGUAGCUGCAGUUUAAACAGCUGAAAAACUAAAAUUUGAGACUUUAUAUGAUAUUUUGUUCUGUUUCCACUUCAGUCUAAACUUGUGACAUUAAUUGUCUUUAAUUGUGCGCUGCAGAUUCCUCUUCCUCAAACCAGAAACCCUCCAAAUGAAACGAUUCAGAACCAGCCGGGCUGAAACCGUUCAGCUUCAUUUAAGGAGGAAACCUGCAGAUUAAACUCGGGUUUUUUUCCUGAAACAGCUUCUCCACCUUCUCUAGGCCUAGUCAAAGUCCAGAUCUCAGGGAUCAUCGAUGCAGGAGAAUCAGGAGGGUUCUGGUGCUGGACGGGUUCAUCGGAGCAACGCUUCGCUGGAGAGAACCGGACCGAUCUGGACCGGACCGGACCGGACCGAACCGAUCCGGACCGGACCGGAGAGAACUGGUGCCUCUGGUUCGGCUGAUUCUAGAGGAAAUGUUUUCCUGUUUUAACAGAAAUAUUGUCGUUUUGUGAGAAACUUUGUUCUCUCUGGAUUUUAUCAAAAGCUUUUUUAUUAAACUUUCAGUAGAAUCUAAUUUUA
Non-coding RNA from Poecilia reticulata (guppy), 995 nucleotides. NCBI's taxonomy places the organism in Eukaryota, Metazoa, Chordata, Actinopteri, Cyprinodontiformes, Poeciliidae. The record is from RefSeq and is a predicted model, not a curated record.